AUGUCACACAUUAAAGCUGCCAUCCCUGCAAACCUCGAUCCAUACCAGUUUGCAUACAGGGCAAACAGGUCGACAGAGGAUGCCAUAAUAACAGCUCUUCACACAGCCCUCACACACCUGGACUGUAGUAACACCUAUGUGAGAAUGCUGUUUGUGGACUUCAGCUCUGCCUUCAAUACAGUUCAACCCCACAAACUGGUUAAUAAACUAAGCAACUUAGGACUCAGCAGCUCACUGUGCAGCUGGAUACUGGACUUCCUGAGCAACAGACCCCAGAACGUAAGAAUGGGAGAGCACACCUCCUCCACCCUCAUUCUGAAUGUGGGUGUCCCACAGGGGUGUGUCCUCAGUCCCCUCUUAUACUCACUUUUCACCCAUGACUGUUCACCAAUCCACACCAGUAACACCAUUAUAAAAUUUGCUGAUGACACCACUGUCAUAGGACUGAUCGACAACAACGAUGAUUCAGCCUACAGAGAGGAGGUUCAGCAUCUGAAGCAAUGGUGUGAUGACAACAACUUGCAUCUGAACACAGCCCAGACCAAGGAGAUGGUAAUCGACUUCAGAAGAACAAAGCGAUCUGAGCACUCUACCCUCUACAUUGAUGGGGAGGAGGUAGAAAGGGUAGAAAGCUUUAAGUUCCUCGGAGUCCACAUCUCGGCCGACCUUACCUGGUCCACAAACAUCUCCCACCAGGUAGGGAAAGCACAACAAAGGCUGUACUUCCUCAGGAAACUACGUCAGGCCCAAUUACCCCAAAGACUGCUAGUAAACUUCUACCGCUCCACCAUUGAGAGCCUUCUGACUUACUGCUGCACACUCUGGUUCAACUGCUGCACCGCGGAGGACAAGAGGAAACUGCAGCGGGUGGUGAGGGCAGCAGAGCGGGCAAUCGGCACUUCACUAACCCCCCUCAGAGACAUCUAUACUGGCAGACUUCAGCAGAAAGCCAGCAUCAUCAUCAAAGACCCCUCGCACCCUGGACACUCACUUUUCCCCCCUUCCCUCUGGUAA
RNAcentral lists this long non-coding RNA (1014 nucleotides) under Oreochromis niloticus (Nile tilapia). RNAcentral's name for it is "lncRNA (ENSONIG00000040487.1)". Lineage: Eukaryota; Metazoa; Chordata; Actinopteri; Cichliformes; Cichlidae. The record is from RNAcentral.